RNAcentral lists this long non-coding RNA (570 nucleotides) under Astyanax mexicanus (Mexican tetra). RNAcentral describes it as "lncRNA (ENSAMXG00005005486.1)". The record is from RNAcentral. Lineage: Eukaryota; Metazoa; Chordata; Actinopteri; Characiformes; Acestrorhamphidae.
AUGACAACCACCCUUUGUAUAAGCAUGGGAAGUCUGGCAGGAAACAAUCACCUGUCCGACUCUUCACAAACCUCUGUCCCAAAGACAUUAUUCUACCAAAGGAGGAAGGCUACAGAUUUUGCGCUAUUUGUGAGAGAUACGUUUCAGCAGGGAAUAAACACUGCUCUGUGUGUAACGCCUGCACAUCAAAGCUUACAGCAUCAGCAGCAGAAGAAGAAGAAGAAGAGUAAGAGUGGUAAAGCAGCUCCAGGAACGUUAAACAAGAGCGGCAACAAAACCACAGGCAAACACAAGAGAGGCAAACACUCACGCGGGAAGAAGUAACCGGUCACGUGAUUCCUCUCUCACGCAGCGCUGCAGAGGUGUGACACUGUGCUGGUGAGGGUGAGGCUGAAACUCGAGUCAUUUAUCCUGGAUCUGCUGGAGUUCUGCAGCUUUAGCAGGGCUGAAACAUCAAACUUCUGUAGUGAAGUUCCAGUAAAGUAUUGAGAAAACUGACUGGUUAUGUUGAAUUAUUGAAAUUCUCGGUAAAAAAGUAUUAAAAAUAAAAUAUCACACAUUUAUAAAACA